RNAcentral lists this ribosomal RNA (450 nucleotides) under uncultured bacterium. RNAcentral describes it as "partial 16S ribosomal RNA". It matches the Rfam family "Bacterial small subunit ribosomal RNA", at positions 338 to 795 of the family's 1533-position model. The record is from RNAcentral.
CCUACGGGUGGCUGCAGUAAGGAAUAUUGGUCAAUGGACGAAAGUCUGAACCAGCCAUGCCGCGUGGAGGAUGAAGGUCCUCUGGAUUGUAAACUUCUUUUAUAUGGGACGAAAAAAGGCUUUUCUAAGUCGUCUGACGGUACCAUAUGAAUAAGCACCGGCUAACUCCGUGCCAGCAGCCGCGGUAAUACGGAGGGUGCAGGCGUCAUCCGGAUUAACUGGGUUUAAGGGGGGUGUGUAUGUCUGGGUUGAAAUCCCCGAGCUUAACUUGGGAACUGCCAUUGAUACUAUCAGUCUUGAAUACCGUGGAGGUCAGCGGAAUAUGUCAUGUAGCGGUGAAAUGCUUAGAUAUGACAUAGAACACCAAUUGCGAAGGCAGCUGGCUACCCGAAUAUUGACACUGAGGCACGAAAGCGUGGGGAUCAAACAGGAUUAGAUACCCUAGUAGUC